Long non-coding RNA from Oncorhynchus tshawytscha (Chinook salmon), 3229 nucleotides. The record is from Ensembl. NCBI's taxonomy places the organism in Eukaryota, Metazoa, Chordata, Actinopteri, Salmoniformes, Salmonidae.
AGCAGGUGUUCCCUAAGUACACCAAGCAGUUCAGCUACCUGCAGACCGCAUUGUUGCCCUCUUCUUGCGGUUCCUGGGGGUCAAAGGUAACAUGCGCCUGGGGCCCACCAGCUUCAGAACCUUCAUCAGGUACUACAGUACUAUACUACCAAGUACUUAAAUAAAAAGGGCUUUAUAAAUACAUAUGAUUGAUUGAUUAAUUACUUGAUUCAUGAUUGAUUGGUUGAUUGUAGGCACUGUAAGCUGAGCAUCAGUAACUUCUCCAUGGCGUCUAUGGAUAUCUUCUACAUUGAUAUAACAAGGCGCUGGGCCAACAUGCUGCCUGACUCCAGGGAAGCAGAGAAACCCUCCAGCCAAUCAGAACUAGGCAUGGGUCUCCAGGUGUUUGUGGAGGCUGCCUUCUACCCAGCCCAGCGCAGGUUCAAGUCUCUCUGCUGGAGAUGUGUGAGGCUUAGCUGGAGAACCAGGGAGUAGGGGGUCCUGGAGGAUCUCUUCCUAAGAACAGCACCUGGUCCAGCAGGCGCUCUGUGAGCCACCCCAGACCAGGCCCUAUCAGAACCCCAGCUCUGCUCCCCGGCCAACCUGCGCAGGGCCUCCUCCCAGGACUACCGGCUGCAUCAGCGAUUACGACCCCCACACACACACAAGGCCAAUGUAGAGAACUGACCUGACUCAGGCCUAAGAAGCUAUACUCCCACACACAGACCUCACAGAGGAGCACACAGACUGGCUCCCUCUCCACUGGAAGUCCUCCAGGGUGUCCUGUCAAGAGCAGACAGACAGAUUGUAGGGAGCUGACCUCAGAGGCUGACUUCCAGGACCUGUUCUGGGCUUGAUUUAUUUUCCUUGUGAAGAGGAGGAGGGGGGGAGGAAGGUAGUGCAUAAGGUGGUUGAGGAAGUGGGAGAACAAGGGAUGAAGGUAUAUAGUGGGAUAGAGGGAGUUUGUUCCCUCUCUGUGUGUGUGUGUAACGCCAGGCCACUCAGGUCUAGAGGGGGAGAUGGAUGGUUGUAAAGCCCUGCUUGAGAUGCACUUAUUGGGUCUUACCUCCAGGGUGGUGUGUGUCUCCUUUCAUCCCCUGUCAAGCUACCCACUGGACAAUCACACACGUUUUGUUCUUCUAUCCUCGUGGGGACCUGAAAUUAAUUUCCAUUCGACAUCCUAUUUUCCUUAACUUCUAAACCUAACCACUAACCCCUUAACCUAAUUCAAAUUCUAACCCAACCCCUAAUUGUGACCCUAACCCAAAGCCUGACCCCUAAGCUUAAAAUAGCCUUUGACCUCAUGGGGAUGUAGGAAAUGUCCCCCAGAGGGAGAAUUAUCCUUGUUUUACUAUCUUUGUGGUGACUUUCUGGGAUUUUAGGUCCCCACAAGGAUAUAAGAACCAACCAAAACACACACACACACACUGCAGUGUUACAAUCACACAGUGUGUGUUUCUUGUAUGUAUCUGAGCAUUUGCAUGGUAGCUUUAGAACCUAUAACAUUUGCACAGGUGUGUGUGUGUGUGUGUGUGUGUGUGUGUGUGUGUGUGUGUGUGUGUGUGUGUGUGUGUGUGUGUGUGUGUGUGUGUGUGUCUGCGUGUGUGUGUGCCUGCCUGUGUGUGUGUGUGUGCCUGCGUGUGUGUGCCUGCGUGCGUGUGCAUGCAUGUGUGUGUUAUUGUAUUUGUGAUAAUUGCCAGAGGUUCUGCCAUUCGGCUGUUCCAGCUCAUAGAAGCAUAUGUUUUGCGAUUCGAUACUGUGAUUUUAUUGGAAUUCGAUGCUCCAAACGUAUUGCUCACUGUAUGUCUGCUGUAGAGGGACAAGAGAAAGCCAUGAAUAUAAAUGUUUUGGAAUAUAAAAGUGGUCAGCUCAAAACAUGUUGACUCACCAUUUAAAAGAAGAUUGAGAACUAGCUAUAGGCUGACAAAUACAGGUACAGCCGCUAGCUAGCUAACAUUAACAACCAAGCAACUUUUUAUAUUUUAUAUAUAUAUAUAUAUAUAUAUGCUAUAGUUGUGUUUUUUACAAGUCGAUACUUGGAGUCACAGUAUUGAUAUAAAACUAGCAAAAAUGAGGGGCUAUGGUUUGAUUUAGGACCGGGCACUUCCUCUGCUUUCAUAACAAUAACAUAGCAGCCUUAGACAUACAGCAGUGGGAAAGAGAGAGAGAGAGGGUCACUCAAAAUGUCCACCACAGACCCAAUGUCAGCACAUCUUCUAUCACAUCCUAUACCCUAUGUAAUGUACUGUAUAGGAAAUAAGGUGUGAUUUCAGACAGAACCAGAGCUGUCAUGUUUACAAAUAUCGUGUCAUUCAUAUCCAUAGGAAUGUUUUAAUAGUAUUUUAUUUCUGUUGUUGGUUUGUUUUACACAUCAUUUAUUCACGUCAGUCAUUGUCACCUAUGAACAGUUGCUGUAUUGCAUUGCUGCUUGCAGGAGAAUAAAACUAAACAGUAAAGCUGUCAUGGUUCCUGCAGGACUAUGGGCUUCAGCUUGUCUACACUGAACACCAUAACAAAGAACACACUAAAUGUUUUUGCGCCCCCACUAUGUUAAAAAAAGAAAAAUAAAUUGUAAUCAACAGCCAAUGUUUAGUAUUUUUUUUGGGGGGGGGGGGGCUAUGGCAGUCUUACAAAUCAGUUUGACAGUGUUCUUGACAGUAUUCAAUCUGAAGGAAAUAUGGUUUGAAGUGACUGAAAAGCAUCAGAAAGGAAUUGGGAAGAUCAGAAGAUCAUCAGGCAAUAAAUCAUUUUGCAUGAUCUUCUGUGUAGAAAAGAACAUUGAUGAUAUUCUUUUCCCCCCCAGUCUGAUUUAGUGCCUGGUCUUUUCCACUCAGUUCUAAGGACUUGUGGGCAGAGUAGAGGGAAACAGUAUGUACAUACGUGUUCCUGAGAGUCUUAUCUUUUCAGUGAUGGGGUCAUAAUAUGUUGUAGCUUAAUAAACCAUUCAAAAGAGCUGCAUUUGUAGGAAGAAAACAGAAACCACUCUGUUUAUUAGAACUGCAUCUAGUGGCUACGGGAGGUUACUGAAGUAUCCCCGGUUCUAUGAACCAAGUGCAAAUGUUCUCUCACUACCACAUUUUCAACCCCUAAUUUGGGAAACCCUGAGUUAAGACUAUAGACGUUUGCUUCAUCAUCUCAUACUGUACUCCACCACAGCAUCUGAGAAUAUAUGCUCAGCCAUAACCUCCACUGGGAUGUACUGCACGUCUGUUUAUAGCACUGUAAUGCAGAAUAAAGGACUGUAUUUAAA